This 253-nucleotide ribosomal RNA is filed under the name uncultured bacterium. RNAcentral's name for it is "partial 16S ribosomal RNA". It matches the Rfam family "Bacterial small subunit ribosomal RNA", at positions 524 to 776 of the family's 1533-position model. The record is from RNAcentral.
UACGAAGGGGGCUAGCGUUGUUCGGAUUAACUGGGCGUAAAGGGUGCGUAGACGGUAGCGUAAGUCAGAUGUGAAAGCCCCGGGCUCAACCUGGGAAUUGCAUUUGAGACUGCUCUGCUCGGGUGCGGAAGAGGGAAGCGGAAUUUCCGGUGUAGCGGUGAAAUGCGUAGAUAUCGGAAGGAACACCAGUGGCGAAAGCGGCUUCCUGGUCCGACACCGACGUUCAGGCACGAAAGCGUGGGGAGCAAACAGG